RNAcentral lists this ribosomal RNA (798 nucleotides) under Frankliniella occidentalis (western flower thrips). RNAcentral's name for it is "eukaryotic LSU rRNA". It matches the Rfam family "Eukaryotic large subunit ribosomal RNA", at positions 1 to 634 of the family's 3401-position model. The record is from RNAcentral. Lineage: Eukaryota; Metazoa; Arthropoda; Insecta; Thysanoptera; Thripidae.
GACCUCAGUUCAGGUGAGAUUACCGGCUGAAUUUAAGCAUAUUACUAAGCCGAGGAAAAGAAACUAACAAGGAUUCCCCUAGUAGCAGCGAGCGAACAGGGAAGAGCCCAGCGCUGAAUCCCCCGGGCCUCGCUCGGCGGGAAAUGUAGCGUUUGGGAGGGCCCGUCAACACGGCGACUCGCUCACUGGUUCAAGUCCAACUUGAAUGGGGCCACACAGAGGGUGACAGGCCCGUAGAGCAGGAGCGGUUGUCGUGUGGGUCUCUCCUUAGAGUCGGUUUGCUUGAGAGUGCAGACUUAAGUGGGUGGUAAACUCCAUCUAAGGCUAAAUAUGACCACGAGACCGAUAGCACACAAGUACCGUGAGGGAAAGGUGAAAAGAACUUUGAAGAGAGAGUUCAAGAGUACGUGAAACUGAAGUGGUGUAAACGGACGAGUUCGAAAAGUCCGAAUGGUGAGAUUCAAGCUUACCGUGCCGGUGGCCCUCGGGUUCAGAUGGCGUCGUCAGCUCGGGCUUCGGUUCGGGUCAUACGGCGUCACUCGUCCUGGGGGUAUCUGUCUGGUGCGGUGGGCUGCACUUCUCGCCUAGUAGGACGUCGCGACCCGUUGGGAUGUUCCGUUCACUGGCCCCUGGUGGAGCCCGCGCCGGAGCGUGGCCUUGUGCCGCGUUGCUGUUUGCACGGACCCGGGGUGACCUGAUCGGCGCCCGACGGUAUCAAAGCUUGGGAAGAGGCCGCACAGAGGAUGCGUUCGAUGGCCGUUUCGGCCUACACUCGGACAGGCCUGCACCCGGUCAGCG